UCGAGAGCUCCAAGUGGGCCAU
RNAcentral lists this small nuclear RNA (22 nucleotides) under Arabidopsis thaliana (thale cress). RNAcentral describes it as "snRNA_02187". The record is from RNAcentral. Lineage: Eukaryota; Viridiplantae; Streptophyta; Magnoliopsida; Brassicales; Brassicaceae.